This 731-nucleotide unclassified non-coding RNA is filed under the name Hevea brasiliensis (rubber tree). Lineage: Eukaryota; Viridiplantae; Streptophyta; Magnoliopsida; Malpighiales; Euphorbiaceae. The record is from RNAcentral.
AAAAAAAAAAAAAAGAAGAGAAGAGAGAGAGACGACAUGAGAUAUCAAGCUUUCCUAAUUAUUCCUACAAAAUGCUGCCAUGAACAGACAAAUAAAGGCGGUGUUUGUGUAUUUUUAAGUCCUUGAAACUGAAGUGUUUUAUUUUGUUGCCCUCAUCACAUCCAAUGAAGGCAACCAGUCAGUUGUAAAUUAAGAUGGAAAUCAGAAAUCCACAAGAAACAUUAUAGAUGACUCAGAGCAGAAAAUAGUCGGGAAAAUUAUGGUCGAAAAUUCAGGCACCCAUGAUUGCAGCUAAAGUAUCAAGAAUUUCAGGAAAGAACAUAAAUGCAAAUGUAAUAAUAUGGUGAUGUUGCAUUAAUCCAUGGGAUUGGGACCUUAAAUAAUUCAAUGUAUACAAUUGUUUCCACUAAAUAAUCUACCAUGAAUAUCUAGGUAUACAAAUCAUUUAAUCCAAACCAACUCAUACCUCGUAGAACAAUCCCAGGGCCUAUGGGACCUCCUGAAACCUGCUCAUUUCAGGCAGGGACAAACAUAAAGCCUAGAUAACCCAUAAGAUUAUCUAACCAAGUUAGAUUAUUUUUCAAUGUCAAUAAUGAAUGACAAGAAGCUUUCUAAGCAUAGCUCAACUGUAUAUAAGUGUGUACAUGUUUCAAUUGUGCUGAGAUCUGACAGGAACAUCAAGCCUUAUUCAUAUUUGGGUUUAGCUAGAGUUGAGGUAGCCUGUUUAUGCU